RNAcentral lists this ribosomal RNA (478 nucleotides) under uncultured bacterium. RNAcentral describes it as "partial 16S ribosomal RNA". It matches the Rfam family "Bacterial small subunit ribosomal RNA", at positions 28 to 523 of the family's 1533-position model. The record is from RNAcentral.
GACGAACGCUGGCGGCGUGCUUAACACAUGCAAGUCGAACGGUAAGGCCCUUCGGGGUACACGAGUGGCGAACGGGUGAGUAACACGUGGGUGAUCUGCCCUGCACUUCGGGAUAAGCCUGGGAAACUGGGUCUAAUACCGGAUAGGACCCUGGGAUGCAUGUCCUGGGGUGGAAAGCUUUUGCGGUGUGGGAUGGGCCCGCGGCCUAUCAGCUUGUUGGUGGGGUGAUGGCCUACCAAGGCGACGACGGGUAGCCGGCCUGAGAGGGUGUGCGGCCACACUGGGACUGAGAUACGGCCCAGACUCCUACGGGAGGCAGCAGUGGGUAAUAUUGCACAAUGGGCGCAAGCCUGAUGCAGCGACGCCGCGUGAGGGAUGACGGCCUUCGGGUUGUAAACCUCUUUCAGCACCGACGAAGCGCAAGUGACGGUAGGUGCAGAAGAAGGACCGGCCAACUACGUGCCAGCCGCCGCAGUAA